GCGCUCACUUCGGCAGCACAUACACUAAAAUUGGAAUGAUACGGAGAAGAUUAGCAUUGGUUCCUGUGCAAGGAUGGUAUGCUAAUUUGUGAAGCAUUCCAUAUUUAA
Small nuclear RNA from Artibeus jamaicensis (Jamaican fruit-eating bat), 108 nucleotides. The record is from RefSeq and is a predicted model, not a curated record. NCBI's taxonomy places the organism in Eukaryota, Metazoa, Chordata, Mammalia, Chiroptera, Phyllostomidae.